UCCUGUGCAUCCAUAAAAAACGAAGAAGUUUGCAUACUACAACCCCAAUCAACACAAUGAUAUUAGCCUCAUCCUAGGAAGAUUAAGCCAAUGACAAUUGGGAAGAUGGAUCAACAUAUUAGCUUUGUAGAAAAAGAAUUGCUAGUUUGUUUCCUAAUGAAGUGGCAGUUAAACAUUUUCAUGAGGUGAAAAUCGCCGUGGGAUGAAACGAAAGGAUUGUGUUAGAAGCUCUUUUUCAUUUGUAUAAAGGCACCCUUCGAUGUUUUCAUUAUCCCCUUGUUUGAUAAUAUUUUUUUUCUUGCAGGUUGUAGGUUCGAUUGUUAGACAAUGUGUCAAUGUUCUCUUUUGUGACUAGGAACAAGAUGUAAGUCGUUUUGCUUCAAAUUGUUAGUUUUUAUUUCUUUUGGCAAUAAAUUUGGUUAUCUCAUGUACAAUGAAGUGAUUGUACCUAGGUUUUAAUUUAUAAGGACCGUCUGUCUUGCUAAUUCAUCAAUAUGGCCAUACAUUAUUGCCCCCUCUCAAUUUUUUUCCUGGGUCCGCCCCUGGUUCAACCCACAUCGUGAACUCUACCAUUAUAGUGCAUGUAUACUGUAAGUAAUCUUAUUUUAUGCGUAUGUAUGAGUGCGUGCGUCUGUAGUGUGUUAGAAAAUAUAUAUACUGUACAUAAUUGAAUUUGCAUUUUGUGUUGUUUGUACAUAAAGGAAACUUUUUCUGGCGGAUUUAUUUGUUGGGCUUUGGCCCAACAGAUUCACACAGACGUACACGACCUUCAAGUCUUCUUCUCUCGCACUCUUGGCUAAAAAAAAAUCUUCUCUCGCACUCACACCUUUGCCGUUUCUAAUCCUAAAAAGACAUGCUUGCUGUUUCUUGAUUCCCUUUUCAUUACCUUAUUUCCUCUCGCUCCUCCUUCCCCCCGAUGUGCUCUGGCUGUUAGCGCUAGUAAUUUGUGCUGCGGAUUCAAUCAACAGCACCUCAGUUUUCUCUCUUGAUUCCCUGCCGCGACCUUGCUCAUACUCACUUACACGCACACCUGCAGCUCAACUCACUGGUGCGGCCAUGGGGUGGCCGUCUACGGUGCCUGGUUUGGCUCCUAUACGGCUCGUCGAUCUCUCAGACCGGUCAACGAUGACGGAGUGGUAGCAGGGCCCAAGGGAGAAGCGGCUCAAGGGGGGGAAGCGAGCUCGUCGAUCUGGACGACGCCAUUGCCGUCGGCGUCUAUCCAGGUGAUGUGGGUGUGGAUCUUGUCUCCCGCAGACAGGUUGGAUCCACCUUGAUUGUGAGAUGCUGACGGCGUUGUUUUCGAUCGCAUCGUGGCUGCCCCCGAGCGAGGCAGCCCGGCAGGUCAUCUUCAUCCUGGACUGGCAGCCUGAUUUCGGCAGCUCAUUCUUCCACUUGCAGGUUUCUGUGAUGUUCUUUGGCCUACUUCCAUAAGCAUAGAUUGAAUAUCCGGCCAAGCUGUGUUGCACGUGAAUGCCACAAAUAGGUCUGUGUAUCAAGCCCAUCGACAUCUUGCUAUAGCAUCUUGGUAGUUUUGUGCUUGUAUCUGAGGUUAUCUAUGAAGCUGGAUGGCAGUAGUAUUCUCCUUCCUACCUCGUCAGCCCUUGUAUCUCCUCUUUAUGUUGCGUCUUGCAAGUCAGCAUAUAAUUCUGCUCUUAUGUUUCCUUGAUGUUUUUUGGUCCAGUCUAGUCUGUACUACAAAAUGCAUGCAAGGGCAUCCACAUUGAACUUCCGAAGUUGCUCGUUCGUUGAGGUUCUUCUCGCCUUGUAUGCAUGUCCCAACGCCCUUCUAAAGUUGCUCUUUCUUCAUACCAGAAAAUUGCACCAUACCAUUCACACUUGCGUCUUGGACUUCCGAAGUUCCAAAUUUCCAUAUCUGUCCUUUUCGAUGUCCUGUUUAAGUUUCUGAAUUUAGCAUCAAUUUGAAUAUUAGUAUGUUCUUUUUUCCUACUAAUACAACAAACUUAAUAGAACUGACAUAUCUGGUUAUUCUGCCCUUGAUUUUUUCUAUUGCACACUUUGUGUUACUUUUAGUCAUGUACACACGCUUAACAGAAUUACCAGGUUCAUGAAUGUCCAAAUUGUAGAUCUUAAUUGAAUUUUCUUGCUACUUACCUCGUAGUUUUACCACCUAUUCUUUCCUGUGGCAGUUCAACAAUGCUGAUUUUGCCUCAGUCAAUGCACAUGAUUGACAUCUGUACAUGAUAUGGUUCCCUGUGGUAAUUCAACAAUGCUGAUUUUGCCUCCGUCUUGAUUAAGCCAUGUUGCAUGGAAAUGUGUUUUCAUGUUUAAAAAAAAAGCUGAUAGGUACAAUCAGGAACAAAUGCAACAUGUUUUUGUGAUUUAAUAUAGCACUUGGAAGGAAUGGAACACAUAGAUAUCACAAUUGAUGCGCAAAGACGAAGCAAGCUAUAAUGAUGCUUCCAGUAUACCAUACUACAGUCGUGCAACAUGUAAGGGAAGUUUAGCAAUUGAAUUAAGAACAGUAAGUUAAGAUAGUGGAUGAUAAUACACAUAAGAAUACCUUUGUGAUGAUUUGCUUAUGGCACGCGGUUGGCAUAUUUGUGCAGUCUGGCACAUCUCCAUGUAUGAUCGAACGCUGUCUCUUGUUGUUGUCUUGAAGUUUCAUUCUCCUUUCCUAAUCCUAUCUUGUUAUUAUUGAUUGUCUGGAUUCACAUCAAUAUUAUAAUAUAUUUUUCCAUGCUUAAAUCAAUUAUGAACACAAAUGUGCCUAACUGGAAUUGUUGCAUUAUAUAAUUUAGGUGUAACAUUUUUGUGAUAUCGCUUAUUAAAAGUGCAUGAUUAGCAACGGAUCACCUUGUUGGAUUGUAUAUUUGAUUGCUUUUAACUACCUUGGCAAGUUUCUCACAUUAUUGCAAUGUGGUCCACCUUUUAUUUUCAUCGUUUCUUCCUGCACAAUAUAGAAAACAUGUGUUAGAGAAGGUGAUAUUGUAAAAUUGGUACCGAGUACUGCUGAAGGUUAUGGAGAUCUAUGAUUUUGAUUAAUUAUUCGUCUUACAAUUUUUUGUUUUGUUGUAGAAGUAAGGGAGAUCAACUUCCAAGAUCAGUGAUUGUGGUGAAAGCUUUAAUGUUAAAGUGGAUGUUAAGUUUCAAUCAUCAUGAUGAAGACACAUAUUUGUGAGGGUCUUUUACCCUUCUGUUGUUUUUAGAUGAUAGUCUAUAUGAAACCAUAUAUGGGUGAAGAAUUAGAUUGUAAUUGAGGAUGGCAAGUUCAUGCACAAUUACGAUUGAAGAAUCGCAAGGGAACUUGCCUGGUCUAAAUUUGAAAGCUAUUUGAUUA
Molecule: non-coding RNA, 3298 nt
Organism: Aegilops tauschii subsp. strangulata
Lineage: Eukaryota; Viridiplantae; Streptophyta; Magnoliopsida; Poales; Poaceae
Source: RefSeq, a predicted model, not a curated record